RNAcentral lists this transfer RNA (83 nucleotides) under human gut metagenome. It matches the Rfam family "tRNA". Rfam says of the family: Transfer RNA (tRNA) molecules are approximately 80 nucleotides in length. Their secondary structure includes four short double-helical elements and three loops (D, anti-codon, and T loops). Further hydrogen bonds mediate the characteristic L-shaped molecular structure. tRNAs have two regions of fundamental functional importance: the anti-codon, which is responsible for specific mRNA codon recognition, and the 3' end, to which the tRNAs corresponding amino acid is attached (by aminoacyl-tRNA synthetases). tRNAs cope with the degeneracy of the genetic code in two manners: having more than one tRNA (with a specific anti-codon) for a particular amino acid; and 'wobble' base-pairing, i.e. permitting non-standard base-pairing at the 3rd anti-codon position. RNAcentral also lists the same sequence under 1 other name. The record is from RNAcentral.
GAGGAAUGGCAGAGCGGUUGAAUGCGGCGGUCUUGAAAACCGUUGUACCGAGAGGUACCGUGGGUUCGAAUCCUACUUCCUCC